CCUACGGGCGGCAGCAGUGAGGAAUAUUGGUCAAUGGGCGCGAGCCUGAACCAGCCAAGUAGCGUGAAGGAUGACUGCCCUACGGGUUGUAAACCUCUUUUAUCAAGGAGUAAAGUGAGGCACGUGUGCCUCUUUGUAUGUAUUUUAUGAAUAAGGAUCGGCUAACUCCGUGCCAGCAGCUGCGGUAAUACGGAGGAUCCGAGCGUUAUCCGGAUUUAUUGGGUUUAAAGGGAGCGUAGAUGGGUUGUUAAGUCAGUGGUUAAAGUUUGCGGCUCAACCGUAAAAUUGCAAUUGAUACUGGAAGCCUUGAGUACAGUAGAGGUAGGCGGAAUGCGUGGUGUAGCGGUGAAAUGCUUAGAUAUCACGAAGAACUCCGAUUGCGAAGGCAGCAUACUAAACCGCAACUGACAUUGAUGCUCGAAAGUGUGGGUAUCAAACAGGAUUAGAUACCCUAGUAGUC
Molecule: ribosomal RNA, 460 nt
Filed under: uncultured bacterium
Lineage: Bacteria
Description: partial 16S ribosomal RNA
Rfam family: Bacterial small subunit ribosomal RNA
Source: RNAcentral